This 247-nucleotide ribosomal RNA is filed under the name uncultured bacterium. RNAcentral's name for it is "partial small subunit ribosomal RNA". It matches the Rfam family "Bacterial small subunit ribosomal RNA", at positions 26 to 288 of the family's 1533-position model. The record is from RNAcentral.
AGGACGAACGCUGGCGGCGUGCUUAACACAUGCAAGUCGAGCGAACCUUCGGGUUAGCGGCGAACGGGUGAGUAACACGUGGGCAACCUGCCCCGAGCUCUGGGAUAACUCCGGGAAACCGGGGCUAAUACCGGAUAUGACACCGAUCGACAUCUGUCGGUGUGGAAAGUUUUUCGGCUCGGGAUGGGCCCGCGGCCUAUCAGCUUGGUUGGUGAGGUAACGGCCCACAAGGCGACGACGGGUAGCC